UCAGCGGCACACGACUGGCGCAGGUGGGCAACCACCAGGGAGUGACGAGUCGGCAUCGAUCGCCUGGGUGCCCUCA
This is a regulatory RNA element of Nocardioides sp. Root614, 76 nucleotides long. It matches the Rfam family "ZMP/ZTP riboswitch aptamer (pfl RNA motif)". Rfam says of the family: Previously known as pfl RNA. ZMP is also known as AICAR. The record is from Rfam. NCBI's taxonomy places the organism in Bacteria, Bacillati, Actinomycetota, Actinomycetes, Propionibacteriales, Nocardioidaceae.